AAUCAACGCUGGCGGCGUGCCUAAGACAUGCAAGUCGAACGAUUAAACUUCCCUUUGGGGUCGAUGUAAAGUGGCGCACGGGUGAGUAACACGUAGGUAAUGUCCCUUUGGGUGGGGAGUAUCUCUGGGAAACUUCAGCUAAUAUCGCAUAAUGCAGCGGCUCCUUCGGGAGACAGUUGUUAAAGAUUUAUCGCCUAACGCGCAGACUGCGGCCGGUUAGCUAGUUGGUAAGGUAUCGGCUUACCACAGCUCCGAUCUGUAGUCGAGCUGGGAGGGUGGUCCGACACACCGACAGUGAGUAACGGGUGAGACUCCUACGGGAUGCAGCAGUCGUGAAUGGUGGACAAUGGGCGAAAGGCUGACCCAGCAACGCCGCGUGAAGGAUGAAGUCAGGCGGGAUGAAAUCUUCGUAAAAAUAGGAAGAAUAAAGGACGGGACUAUUAGAAAGGGCCGGCUAACUACGUG
RNAcentral lists this ribosomal RNA (465 nucleotides) under uncultured bacterium. Its description in RNAcentral is "partial 16S ribosomal RNA". It matches the Rfam family "Bacterial small subunit ribosomal RNA", at positions 32 to 507 of the family's 1533-position model. The record is from RNAcentral.